GAUGAAGAACGUAGCGAAAUGCGAUACGUAAUGUGAAUUGCAGAAUUCAGUGAAUCAUCGAAUCUUUGAACGCAUAUUGCGCUCUUUGGUAUUCCGAAGAGCAUGCUUGUUUGAGUAUCAGUAAACACCUCAAAGACUUCAAUUUGUUUUGAAUGGCUUUGGACUUGAGCAAUCCCAACACCAGUCUUUACGAUCGGUGGAGGGUUGCUUGAAAUGCAGGUGCAGCUGGACAUUCUCCUGAGCUAAAAGCAUAUUUAUUUAGUCCCGUCAAACGGAUUAUUACUUUUGCUGCAGCUAACAUAAAGGGAGCUUGACCGUAUUGGCUGACUGAUGCAGGAUUUCACAAGGGUCGGCAACGAUUCUUGUAAAACUCGAUCUCAAAUCAAGUAAGACUACCCGCUGAACUUAAGCAUAUCAAUAAGCGGAGGA
This 429-nucleotide unclassified non-coding RNA is filed under the name soil metagenome. Its description in RNAcentral is "partial contains 5.8S ribosomal RNA, internal transcribed spacer 2, and large subunit ribosomal RNA". The stretch from base 1 to 120 matches the Rfam family "5.8S ribosomal RNA", at positions 35 to 154 of the family's 154-position model. The record is from RNAcentral.